This is an RNA transcript of Mus musculus (house mouse), 3464 nucleotides long. It is a transcript of the gene named IgLON family member 5, with no coding region annotated. The transcript is spliced from 8 exons. NCBI's taxonomy places the organism in Eukaryota, Metazoa, Chordata, Mammalia, Rodentia, Muridae. The record is from RefSeq and is marked validated.
ACCCCCCCUCCCUGGGUCUGCAGCAGCUCCGGCCACCUCGUCGCGCCCCCCCAGCCCCCUCCCCCCGCCCCCGCCGCCCCCCGGGCCGGUGCAGCCGCAGGCGGGGUUCCCCUCCCCCUCCCCCUCUCCCCCAGGCUCGCGCGCCCCGACCGCCCCCUCCCCUCCCCCUCCGCGCCGCCGCGAUGCCCCCCCCUGCGCCCGGGGCCCGGCUCCGGCUCCUCGCCGCCGCCGCCCUGGCCGGCCUGGCCGUCAUCAGCCGAGGGUUGCUGUCCCAGAGCCUGGAGUUCAGCUCACCUGCGGACAACUAUACAGUGUGUGAAGGUGACAACGCCACCCUCAGCUGCUUCAUCGAUGAGCAUGUGACCCGGGUAGCCUGGCUGAACCGCUCCAACAUCCUGUAUGCGGGCAAUGACCGUUGGACCAGUGAUCCCCGGGUGCGGCUGCUCAUCAACACACCCGAGGAAUUCUCCAUCCUCAUCACCCAGGUGGGGCUUGGUGAUGAGGGCCUCUACACCUGUUCCUUCCAGACCCGCCACCAGCCCUACACCACUCAGGUCUACCUCAUCGUCCAUGUCCCUGCCCGUAUUGUGAACAUCUCCUCACCCGUGGCAGUGAAUGAAGGGGGCAAUGUGAACCUUCUCUGCCUGGCUGUGGGAAGGCCAGAGCCCACUGUCACCUGGAGACAGCUCCGAGCCUGCUUAAUGAGCUCUGAGAUCCAGUUUCCCAAAAGGUACCACCAAGCUGCCUGACAUAUAUUAGGCCAGGACAUUAUCUCCAUCCCCAGAUACCCCAGUCUCUGGACCUUCCUGCUUCUUUGCAGACCCAUAAUGACCAUCACUGGGUCCCAUUCCUUAGACAAACUGAGAGUGGGAAGCCUAGUCUAGCUUAAUGUCCCUUCAUACUCCCCCUUGGUGUCUUCUGAACCCUAAAUCCCACUUGCCAUAAGUUCUAGAUGGUCUUUUGUGACCUCAGGUCUGUUAAAAAAAGACCCCAGGUGUCUGUAUUAGCAAUCUCAAUCAUCAAGUCCGAAUUCUCCGAACCCCCAAAGAACUCUGGACCCUCCCUGAAUGUGUCUGUCUUUCCUGGAUCCUUGAAAGCCAAAAACCAAGAUCCUGGUUUCACUCCCUACUUCUAAGUGGGUCCCCUGAGCAUGACAUGGGAGAUUCCAGAACCCUAGGUCUCCUGCACUCCAAAUCCUAGGCCCCUUUCCACUGGGUUCUGAGCUCCCCAGUCCUUAGCUUAGCCCCACCCUGCCCCCGCAGGACCUUCCCGGCUCCUACUGACAGGGGCACUCCAGGCCCUGCUGUGCCCGCCCCGCUGAUGUGUGUCCGUGUUGUGCCCGUGUUGUCCCGUGUUAAGUGUUUGUGUCCGGCCCCGCCCCCCACCCCCACCUCCCCCACAGACGGUUUCACCUCAGAGGGUGAGAUCCUGGAAAUCUCAGACAUCCAGCGGGGCCAGGCCGGGGAAUACGAAUGCGUUACUCACAACGGAGUGAACUCGGCGCCCGACAGCCGCCGUGUGCUGGUCACAGUGAAUUAUCCCCCGACCAUCACAGAUGUGACAAGCGCGCGCACCGCCCUGGGCCGGGCUGCCCUCCUGCGCUGUGAAGCUAUGGCUGUGCCGCCGGCAGAUUUCCAGUGGUACAAGGAUGACAGGCUGCUAAGCAGCGGUUCUGCAGAGGGCCUCAAGGUGCAGACCGAGCGCACCCGCUCUAUGCUUCUCUUCGCCAACGUGAGCGCCAGGCACUAUGGCAACUACACCUGCCGUGCGGCCAACCGGCUCGGAGCGUCCAGCGCCUCCAUGCGGCUCCUGCGCCCAGGAUCCCUGGAGAACUCAGCUCCAAGGCCUCCAGGGCCCCUGACCCUCCUCUCUGCCCUGAGCUGGCUGUGGUGGAGAAUGUAGACACCAUUCAGUACAGCGCAUCCCCCCCUGCAGGGGGCCUCAGGCCAGGAGCGAGAAAAAGGGGGUGAGCAAGCGCCAGCCACGGGUCUCCAGGGGGACAGAAGAGCUCUUAGCCACAGAGGAAGAAAGAAGAAGAGGAGGAAGGUCUUUUAGAGAACCCAUCACUGUGAGGGAUUAUGAAAAAUUAUGCAUCUUUCUACAGCCAUUCUCGCCACCCCGUUCACGUUUCCAAUUGUGACCCACCCCCAGCCACCCCACACCCCUCUCUUAGCUCAGGCUGUCAACUGGCUCGUGUGUGUGUGUGUGUGUGUGUGUGUGUGUGUGUGUGUGUGUGUGCGCGUGUGUGUGUGAAGGUGUGCUGGGGGAGGGAACCAGGAGGCACCCCUCUCUGGCACAGACCCCCCCAUGGCCCCUAGCCAUCCCUGCUGCCUGCCUCUCUUCCUUUGGCUGGAGGUAGGUAUGGGGGCUUCGUGGUGGAAGCUUUGACAAGAAGAUUGCCAGCUUUCCACCUUCCCAUAUAUGCAUGAACACCUACCCCUCUCCUCCCUAUUGAAGGGGCAGGUAGGGUGGGUGUCAGGUGUCACUCAGCCUUUGUGAAUAGGUGGGGAUCUCCAUGAAGGCUGUUUCUCCCUGCUCCAUCACCAGUUGCCUGCAGCCAGACGCUCCAUCACUGGCUCAGUGGCCUGAAACCUCCCUUGCCCUGUCCCUCUCCUCCCCUCCCUUCCCCUGAACUUUCUGGCCCUCUUCCCGGGCCAAUCGGUGCUUCCAUUCAAUUGAUAGGCUAGUGGCACUUGUCACCUGUCUGUCUCAGUGCUUUGCCCCACCCAUACCCCCAAGACUCCCCUUGGCCACAGUGGUACCCUCCAGCUGCCCUUGGGCCCCAGCAGCUGGCCCAUAAGUAUGGGCUCUCUGACAACCUGCUCCCUGGCCUCUCAACCCAUAAUACCUCCAAAGGCUGCUGUGACCACACACACACAUACACACACACACACACACACACACACAGCAUGCAUACAUGCACGCUCAUGCACACACAAACACACAUACACAUGCACACAUGCACGCACACAUGCACACCAGCGACUGACCAGCAAUAGCUCCUGGCUUCACCUGCCCCAGAGUCUGUAACUAGCAGCAGUUUCCCCGGAGUGGGCCACUGUCAUCCACACAGGAAGCUGACAGGUUCUGUGUAUGGGAACACCUCACUUUGCUACACGUCAGGCCUCACAGAGUUGGGAGAGAGGAGACGCACAGACAUUCUGAGCCCAGGCAGAGGCACCAUGCCACCAGCCCAAAAUCCAGUAACCACACACCCAAAAUCACACCACUCCGAGCCUGGUGAAGACGAGGGCAGAGAGGGGCAGGGGGGCAAGGGGCAGUGACUGUACCUCAGACGGGGGCGUGGGCCCCAUCCCACAUUGUCUUCCAUUCCCAGGGUCCGGGAUGGGGUGGGGAGGGGGAGGGCGACAAGGGGAGGUGGGAGGGGGGCCCUGGGGGCCGUGUGUUCCAAUUCAUGGGGAGUGUUGAGACCACCACACCAAUAAACGCCUUUUUCCAAAGUC